This is a non-coding RNA of Parelaphostrongylus tenuis, 76 nucleotides long. The record is from the annotation of a GenBank genome assembly. NCBI's taxonomy places the organism in Eukaryota, Metazoa, Nematoda, Chromadorea, Rhabditida, Metastrongylidae.
GCCUCGGUGGUGUAGUGGUUGCACGCGACCCCACCCCGGUAUGGGUGAAACGCGGGUUCGAUUCCCGUCUGAGGCC